RNAcentral lists this ribosomal RNA (253 nucleotides) under uncultured bacterium. RNAcentral's name for it is "partial 16S ribosomal RNA". It matches the Rfam family "Bacterial small subunit ribosomal RNA", at positions 524 to 776 of the family's 1533-position model. The record is from RNAcentral.
UACAGAGGUCUCAAGCGUUGUUCGGAUUCAUUGGGCGUAAAGGGUGCGUAGGUGGCGCUGUAAGUCGGGUGUGAAAUCUCGGAGCUUAACUCCGAAAUGGCAUUCGAUACUGCGGUGCUUGAGGACUGGAGAGGAGACUGGAAUUCAUGGUGUAGCAGUGAAAUGCGUAGAGAUCAUGAGGAAGACCAGUGGCGAAGGCGGGUCUCUGGACAGUUCCUGACACUGAGGCACGAAGGCCAGGGGAGCAAACGGG